Molecule: ribosomal RNA, 495 nt
Filed under: uncultured bacterium
Lineage: Bacteria
Description: partial 16S ribosomal RNA
Rfam family: Bacterial small subunit ribosomal RNA
Source: RNAcentral
GACGAACGCUGGCGGCGUGCCUAAUACAUGCAAGUAGAACGCUGAAGGAGGAGCUUGCUUCUCUGGAUGAGUUGCGAACGGGUGAGUAACGCGUAGGUAACCUGCCUGGUAGCGGGGGAUAACUAUUGGAAACGAUAGCUAAUACCGCAUAAUAGUAGAUGUUGCAUGACAUUUGCUUAAAAGGUGCAAUUGCAUCACUACCAGAUGGACCUGCGUUGUAUUAGCUAGUUGGUGAGGUAACGGCUCACCAAGGCGACGAUACAUAGCCGACCUGAGAGGGUGAUCGGCCACACUGGGACUGAGACACGGCCCAGACUCCUACGGGAGGCAGCAGUAGGGAAUCUUCGGCAACGGACGGAAGUCUGACCGAGCAACGCCGCGUGAGUGAAGAAGGUUUUCGGAUCGUAAAGCUCUGUUGUAAGAGAAGAACGAGUGUGAGAGUGGAAAGUUCACACUGUGACGGUAUCUUACCAGAAAGGGACGGCUAACUACGUG